AGUUUCUUUUUCAUUAUUCAUCAUCGAUUUCUCUCUCCCCUUCCAAUCGCUGUUGUUUAACCGAUCACAACAACACCUUUAGAUCUGAAAAUUAUGGCCAGCAGAAGUGGCGGCGUAGCCACUAACGGCGGAGCAAUUCCGUCGGCUUCUCGGAAGAUGGUACAGAGUCUCAAGGAGAUUGUCAAGGGAGUUUCCGAUGCUGAGAUCUACGUUGCGCUUAAGGAGUGUAAUAUGGACCCUAAUGAAGCUGUUAAUUGUCUCCUAACUCAAGGAUUUUCAUCCUUCAGAUGUAUAUCGUAUUGCCGGUGGGGUGGAAGGUGUUGCUGUCGUUACGCCCUCGGGUUCACAGCCGUCGCUUUAUUGCCGGAGAUUUGCUAGAUGCUAACUUGAGGGAAUCAGUGAAUCAUCCGAAAUGUGGUCAAUUUGAAGGAAUAAUACCGGAUAAGUUGUGGAAAAAGUAUGCUGUGAAGAUUGAUGUGAAUAAGUAUGCUGUGAAGAUUUUGUGCUCCCAUGCUAACACGCUCCACGAUGGAAGUAAUGGUUGAAUCGGUAGCAUACAACGCGACGAGUAGGCUUAGUGUUUAAAACAUUCCAUGCAAACAAUAGUAGUAAAGACUACGUUUUUAUUUUUCUGAUAUGUGGUUUGCUUGUUUGUUUCAUUGGGUUAUUUUUUAUGUAAACUGCAUGUUUAGUUGGUUGGUAUACCUUAUAAUAUAUUUUUUGAUU
Molecule: long non-coding RNA, 726 nt
Organism: Helianthus annuus (common sunflower)
Lineage: Eukaryota; Viridiplantae; Streptophyta; Magnoliopsida; Asterales; Asteraceae
Exons: 3
Source: RefSeq, a predicted model, not a curated record